UAAAGAUGCAUGAUGGAGGCCAGGAAUGCUGGCGUCCUCUGGAAGGCAAGAAAACGGGAAAGGGUCUUAGGAGAGUUGGACACAUUCAAAACACAAUAUGUGAUUAAGAAGAUUAAAGAUUAAUACUUAUUGAUGGAUUACUAUGUGCCAAACUUCCAACCGAAUCCUGACAACAAUUCCUUAAGAUGUGGAAACUGCAGUUCACUGAGGUUGACAUUUCCGGGUUCAUACAACAAGGAUGGGCAUGAUUGUGAGGCCUCCCCACCCACAUGGAAUGAGUUCCCCAGCUAUCCCCCAGUGGCUUGGAGAUUCCCAUUUCAAGAGUGUAGAGUUCUACCCAGAAGGUGGCUGCGUGGACAGUGACUACAUUCUCAGCUCCAUGCCUAUUUGGAUGGUCUGAGGCCUUCACUCCUCACCCUUCCUGGAUGUGGUUGCGCCAGAGGGGAUGAUUUAGUGAGCAGAUGGUACCAGGAAAACCAAGGGUAUUGCAUCCAGCUGUGUGUACACAGAUUGGUGAAUUCAAGCCUCUGAUCUAGGAUCUGAAAUAAAAAUCAGAAUAAGCGAAAA
This 567-nucleotide long non-coding RNA is filed under the name Homo sapiens (human). RNAcentral's name for it is "long independently transcribed non-coding RNA 2932, transcript variant 1 (LINC02932)". Lineage: Eukaryota; Metazoa; Chordata; Mammalia; Primates; Hominidae. The record is from RNAcentral.